GGGUUGUGAGGUUAAGCGACUAAGCGUACACGGUGGAUGCCCUGGCAGUCAGAGGCGAUGAAGGACGUGCUAAUCUGCGAUAAGCGCCGGUAAGGUGAUAUGAACCGUUAUAACCGGCGAUUUCCGAAUGGGGAAACCCAGUGUGAUUCGUCACACUAUCAUUAACUGAAUCCAUAGGUUAAUGAGGCGAACCGGGGGAACUGAAACAUCUAAGUACCCCGAGGAAAAGAAAUCAACCGAGAUUCCCCCAGUAGCGGCGAGCGAACGGGGAGGAGCCCAGAGCCUGAAUCAGCAUGUGUGUUAGUGGAAGCGUCUGGAAAGGCGCGCGAUACAGGGUGACAGCCCCGUACACAAAAGCGCAUGUGCUGUGAGCUCGAUGAGUAGGGCGGGACACGUGGUAUCCUGUCUGAAUAUGGGGGGACCAUCCUCCAAGGCUAAAUACUCCUGACUGACCGAUAGUGAACCAGUACCGUGAGGGAAAGGCGAAAAGAACCCCGGCGAGGGGAGUGAAAAAGAACCUGAAACCGUGUACGUACAAGCAGUGGGAGCACAGGUUUACCUGUGUGACUGCGUACCU
RNAcentral lists this ribosomal RNA (577 nucleotides) under Salmonella enterica subsp. enterica serovar Virchow. RNAcentral's name for it is "partial 23S ribosomal RNA". It matches the Rfam family "Bacterial large subunit ribosomal RNA", at positions 1 to 606 of the family's 2925-position model. The record is from RNAcentral. Lineage: Bacteria; Pseudomonadati; Pseudomonadota; Gammaproteobacteria; Enterobacterales; Enterobacteriaceae.